Molecule: ribosomal RNA, 459 nt
Filed under: uncultured bacterium
Lineage: Bacteria
Description: partial 16S ribosomal RNA
Rfam family: Bacterial small subunit ribosomal RNA
Source: RNAcentral
CUACGGGUUGCAGCAGUAAGGAAUAUUGCGCAAUGGAGGCAACUCUGACGCGGCCAUGCCGCGUGCAGGAAGAAGGCCUUAUGGAUCGUAAACUGCUUUUAUUUAGGAAUAAACCCCCGAACGUGUUCGGGGCUGAAGGUACUAAACGAAUAAGCACCGGCUAACUCCGUGCCAGCAGCCGCGGUAAUACGGAGGGUGCAAGCGUUAUCCGGAUUUAUUGGGUUUAAAGGGUGCGCAGGCGGGCUAUUAAGUCAGUGGUGAAAUCCCGGGGCUCAACUCCGGAACUGCCAUUGAUACUGAUAGUCUUGAGUUUGGUUGAAGUGGGCGGAAUGUAGCAUGUAGCGGUGAAAUGCAUAGAUAUGCUACAGAACACCAAUCGCGAAGGCAGCUCACUAAGCCAAAACUGACGCUCAUGCACGAAAGCGUGGGGAUCAAACAGGAUUAGAUACCCCAGUAGUC